CACCCUCUUAUAGUGCCUGACUAACAAAAAUGUUCUAGCAUUUUUACAUGUAGAAUCGGUUUCCCCGUCAGCUACAGACAUUUCUACUCUGAGCCAAUGCGAGAAGAUCAACGAGAGGAGGAAAAUGGGUAACUUUCCAGUGUGCCAUAUUUAAAUAGCUAGGGCAGCUCUGGCUUCAGGAGGACACAGGGGACCAUUUCUCUGCAAGAUGGACAAGUAGCUACAAGUGGAAGAAGUGGAUGGAAGAUUCUCAGGACACAGUACACCUAGGCCAGGAAGGAGGCACCCUCAGGUAGUGCUGGUGGAAGGGCUAUAGGAAGACACAUCUCCAUCCUUCAGCACUUUCUGGAGCCCCAUACUGCAUAAUGGAUGAGGCCCAUCCAGCAACAGGCGGUACAGCCUGCAUUUCCCCCCUCAUAUGAAGCCAAACACCAGUCAGCAAAACCACAAUAACUCGUGGGUUGGGAUGGCUCCUUGUACAAGCACCCGAAGGCACAAUGACGAGGAGGAAGAUUAGUUUGGGAAGGUAGAGGACCAUGACUCUCUCAGCACCAUUUAGAAGGCCCUGGAUAAAUUCUGCCAUGCUGAUGAGGAUGGUUCCUUUUGGCUGAUCCCUGGAGUGAAGAACACAAAGCCUUUUACCAACAGCUGGUGGAUGAGAUUGGGGCACACUGCCAGAUGAUGCACCAACAACAGUAGCUAGUGAACCAGCAGCUGCCCCUAUCUCCAUGUAAUGAAAUCACCAUCAAUAUUGCACAGACCAUUUUGUUUUCUUCAUCUUAUUGCAUGUUUAUAUACACGUUCCCUUUGUUUCAUUACAAGGGGUUAUGCUUUUUUUUCAUUAUUUGGGGUUAUUCUUAACUUUUUUAGUUGUACA
Long non-coding RNA from Oncorhynchus tshawytscha (Chinook salmon), 877 nucleotides. NCBI's taxonomy places the organism in Eukaryota, Metazoa, Chordata, Actinopteri, Salmoniformes, Salmonidae. The record is from Ensembl.